AUUGAGUGUGCGUGUGUGCGAGAGUGUGCGGCUGAAAGUGUCGAAAGGCGAAAUAAAUUAUGCAAAAUAAAAUUAAAAUUCACAAAUAAAAACAAACAAAAAAUGCCAAAAGCGUUGACUUGUUUCUGAUUGCUGCUGUUUAUUGUUUUUCUUGCAAAAAAUAACAUUUGUUCAAUAAAUACAUGCAUACGUACAUAUGUAUGUGUUUACACCUUCCAACUUUCAAACUUCGCAACUGGAUAUUCCAAGCAACAAGAAAAUACUCCAAAAGUACCAAAUGUAACUACAAGCCCAUCCCCAAGCUGCCUAGACUAGAAAGUGAAAAGUGCGCAGAUAGAAAGCAUGAAUUACCGUAUUUUAUGUCUUCGUGAACUUCUUCUUGAACCAACACAUGACAUGAGCAUGUUUUGGUGCCGUUCAAAGCGGCGCAGGCGCAGCCGCAGGCCGAGUGAAGCUUUCAAGGCAACUGGAUGCCACUCGAGGGAUCAUUGAGUAUAAAAUACCGAGUGAUGUGGUAUAAGCAUGUCGUAUGAAUCAUUCCAAUAACAUGGAAUUAAGCUGCCGCGUCAUGUUUCAAUGCGACCCUCAAGCCGCCCCAGUGAUGUUUGUGUGUGUGCGUGUGUGUGUGUGUGUGCGUGUAAGGCGAGCUUGACGUCCACGUCCGUGUGGGACGACAAAUGACUCAUUGAGCGCGCGCUCUGCUCCCCAUGGUCAAUGUCUAAUUCCAAUGAUAAGCACGAUUCGCUCUCAGCUAAACAGCUACUGGAAUGUGCACUCCAACCAGAAUUUAUUUAUGGUUGAGUCAUUGGACAAUUCUUUGGGUUUUAUCAGUAUCAACAAGUGAAAUGCACAUUAAUUUCAUAUUUUUAUUUAGUCGCUGACAAACAAAACAAAAAUACAGCUGGCUGGGCAAUUGUAAUGGACGUGAGUGUUCACAUAUUUAUAGCUAUGAUAACGGCAACAAGGCGCCCCUAGCUGGUGCUGGGCAAGUGUUGCCAUAUCUUUAAAUAAGUAACAUAUUUGAGUUAAGUAUGUGCGUAAGUCUAAGUGAUAUGGAUGUAGUUUGUGUGCGUAAGUGUGUGUAUGUGUGUGUGUGUGUGUGUGCCCGCAUGAGAUAGCUUUCAGUACAAAACCCAGUUCCGUUAUAGAUCAGCGUCAUAUCCGCUGAUUGGAACGCCUGGAAGGCCUCAACUUUCAAUCUUAAGCUCAUGGAUUCUGGUGACAAUUAAUGCUUAAGGCGACGCCUUCACGCAAUGCUGGCCACGAGCAGCGCUUCAUUUUCAUUUUGGGUGUGACCAGUUCCUCCUGUUGCACGCACGUCAAACUUUCUUGUCACGCGCAUCACAGCCCACACCCAUGCACACACACACACAUUCAGGCACACGCAUGGAUUCACGUGCGUUUAAUUUUUUCAAUUUGUAUAAUUGCUGACCAGCGGCAGAGUUGCCAACUUUAUUUGAAUUUGUUGUCUGUUUAAUUGAUGUUGUUCACACGCACACACACACACACACACUCGCGCCCAGAAGCGCACGCCCAGCUGUUGGCGGUGAACCGUAACGGGCCAACCCUGCGAAAAGCUUCAGCAAAGCCGCCGACCCAAAAUUCACCUGGAAUGGGAGCAGCAAUACGAGUGGGCAUGGCAAUGGGAACUAGAUCGUGUUUCCCAUCCCAGAUUGAUAGCCUCGACGCUAAUCAGAUACUUACUAUGCCCAGCGAGGCGCUGCUGAAAAAAUGGCAAACAACAUCAAUAUAAUGGAAAAUCCAGUCAGAAGCCGGCAUCAGGUUCGCUCACAGUCGGAGUCUCGCCGACGCUGAUGCCGCAAAAAGAAAGAAAGAAAGAAAAAAAAAACAAAAUACAUAGCUAAAUGAAAAAGUAAGAGUGCCGCCUGAUGUGUGCCCGACCAGGAGAUGCCCUGUAUGCAGAGCCGAGCGAACUUUAAAAACAACCCUCAACUUCUUGAAUCUCUUCGGUGCUUAUAGUCCGAUCUUUAUGAAAUUUUCAGUGCUUUACUUUGGCUUUUACAUAUGACAAUUAAGCUCUUAAAAUGCGAAAAACAAAUGGAAUCUAGCUUGAAAGUUACAUCCAAGGAUUCUCUGUAAAGUAUACAAGAAACGACAUCAAAAGCCUGCUCCGAAGAAAGUCGCCAGUUACGAGUGCACAAGACAAUCAAGCCCCAUUUCUUUCUUGCCGUGACUACAGGGUAUCAAAAUAGAGAAAUAAAAAGCUUAAGAAAAAGCGCGACUCAGACGGGGUCCGCUGUCUGGAACUCCCACAAUGCGCAUGUAUCACGUACAAUUGCUGUAACACCUUCGGCUGCGGUUGCUUUACCGACCAGAGUUGCCGAGCAAAUAAAUGUCCCCCCCCCCCCCCCCCGCGGAAUACCCAUUACUAUUUGCCGUCUGACGACUGAGUGACUCAAUGAAAUUUUUAGUUCGCCCAGCGAGCAAAUAUUGUGAGAUAAAUUGUCCAAAAAAAAAAAAAGUAUCUAAUUAUAAUGAUAAUAUAUAUAUA
Molecule: long non-coding RNA, 2512 nt
Organism: Drosophila montana
Lineage: Eukaryota; Metazoa; Arthropoda; Insecta; Diptera; Drosophilidae
Exons: 5
Source: RefSeq, a predicted model, not a curated record